This 1271-nucleotide long non-coding RNA is filed under the name Equus caballus (horse). RNAcentral describes it as "lncRNA (ENSECAG00000040196.3)". The record is from RNAcentral. Lineage: Eukaryota; Metazoa; Chordata; Mammalia; Perissodactyla; Equidae.
UAAUUGUGCUAGCUAAUCUAUAAAUUUUCCUUUCUCAGCCACCAGCUUGUUUACAAUUGAUUGGCACCAGAUUGCGGAGAGCAGAAUGAGCCCCUUUUUGCUCGAUUGCAUGCAGCCAGUCAACAACCACCAGGAUGCCUCUGUCUGUUCCUGAAACAAGGAAUGGAAGUUGAGUCCCCGCUCUGCACAGGCACUGUACAGGAGAGGCUUUCCCACCCGAGUGCUGUGACUUCAACCUUUCAGAGCAAUUCUGUGAAGUGGUUACUAUUAUCUCAACUGUACAGAGAAGGAAAUGGAAUCCUGGAGAGGUUCAGGUCUGAGCUUGCAGAGGUAGAAGGGAACAGAGGCCACCUGCUUCUACGCAUACACAUUUUCCUCUCCUCUGUAUAGUUUAGCACUUCAAAGCUCACUUUAUAUUAUGCUAGAAUUGUAGAAUUUAACAUGAUGGAGCUAAAAGGGACAAUGGAGUUCAUCUAACUUGACUUUAAAGAUGAGAAAACUGAGGUCUGGAGACAUUUGCUUCAAGUCACUUAUCUGGUACCAAAAUGGGAACAAUAACGUAGUUUCCCUAAAGAAGUUGAGUAAUUACAUCAAUAUUUAACCUAGAUAUCAUCUAACCUCUUGUUUUCCACACAACGUCACUGAGGAAUCUCAGAGAGGAGGGGUUCAAAGCUCAAGUGGAAGGGAUUUGCCUUGAAGAGGCAAGGGUCUAUCUGUUGUGCAUACUUGGGGACCUCUCUUUUCUCUGAAAUAGAGAGCUAGGCCAUCUGUUAAGGUUGAGGGGGAAGAAAGAUGAUGGGACGUUAGAAGAGGAUUCAAGUUUAGAUGGUCUGCUGAAGGAAUGAAAAGUGACUCCCACCAGGAAUGAAUACGGUGACUAUAAUUUGUAAUGGAGUGUUGAAGACUCACCCACACCAGCUGAGAGUGAAAGAGAGAAAUGUGAGAUGGCACCAAUCAACACGGCUCUAUACUUUCUUCAGUAGUACUCAUGGUUCUGGAGAAGAAAUAGAAAAGUCCUGGCCUCCACUGGCUUCCAAGAGGCAGGCUGAUGGGAAAUCCAAAACAUUGUUCUCUGGCCUUUCAGAGGGAUUCCAAGGAGAGUGCUGAGCAUGCUCAUCUUGCCACAAAGUGCUAUCAACAGGCCUGAGAAGAACAGAUGUGGAAAACAAAAUAAAUCUGACUUAAUAUUGUAAUGGGGGUUACAUGAAUACAAAGUAUGGAAGAAAGUAAGCAAAGCCAACAAUGACGACAGUGCCAUAGAGAAGACAGAG